RNAcentral lists this non-coding RNA (227 nucleotides) under Inquilinus limosus. The record is from RNAcentral. Lineage: Bacteria; Pseudomonadati; Pseudomonadota; Alphaproteobacteria; Rhodospirillales; Rhodospirillaceae.
GAUACACAUCCCGGCGACGGUUCCCGCACGGGAUCAAAAGGGAACACGGUGGCGCUCUCUCCAAUCGAGUGGAGGGGCGGAAUCCGUGGCUGCCCCCGCAACUGUCAGCGGAUCGCCGAACGUCACGGGCCCCUCAAGGGCCAGGCCACUGCCCGAUGCCGGGCGGGAAGGCCGACGCCAAGCCAUGAUCCGUGAGCCAGGAGACCUGCCGUCGCAGCGCAAUCCGU